GAUGAACGCUGGCGGCAUGCCUAAUACAUGCAAGUCGAGCGAACAGAUGAAGUGCUUGCACUUCUGACGUUAGCGGCGAACGGGUGAGUAACACGUAAGGAAUCUACCUAUAAGCGGGGGAUAACAUUCGGAAACGGGUGCUAAUACCGCAUAAUAUCUUCUUCCGCAUGGAAGAAGAUUGAAAGACGGCUCUGCUGUCACUUAUAGAUGACCUUGCGGUGCAUUAGUUAGUUGGUGGGGUAACGGCCUACCAAGACGAUGAUGCAUAGCCGGCCUGAGAGGGUGAUCGGCCACAUUGGGACGUAGACACGGCCCAAACUCCUACGGGAGGCAGCAGUAGGGAAUCUUCCGCAAUGGGCGAAAGCCUGACGGAGCAAUGCCGCGUGAGUGAAGGAGGCCUUCGGGUCGUAAAACUCUGUUAUAAGAGAAGAACAAAUUGUAGAGUAACUGCUACAGUCUUGACGGUAUCUUAUCAGAAAGCCACGGCUAACUACGUGCCAGCCGCCGCCGUAA
RNAcentral lists this ribosomal RNA (513 nucleotides) under uncultured bacterium. RNAcentral's name for it is "partial 16S ribosomal RNA". It matches the Rfam family "Bacterial small subunit ribosomal RNA", at positions 28 to 523 of the family's 1533-position model. The record is from RNAcentral.